Molecule: long non-coding RNA, 1035 nt
Organism: Mustela erminea (ermine)
Lineage: Eukaryota; Metazoa; Chordata; Mammalia; Carnivora; Mustelidae
Exons: 3
Source: RefSeq, a predicted model, not a curated record
CCCGCCCCCCCCCCCCCCCCCGGCUCCCUCUCCCCGCAGGCGCAAUUGCCGUGGCUAGCGCCUCAGUUUUCGAAGAAUGAGGCUGCGAGCCGGGGGAGGGGCGGGGUUGGCGCAUGCGCGAGCUGGCCUGUUUUCCCCGGAGGUGCGGCUCGGGUUCGGUACCUAAGAGCCAGCACACCUCUGCACUGAGAACACUGAGAACAGUGAGAGGAAGGUUUGGCAGAAUAGGAGCAGCGUGAGGAUUUGAAAGUGCAGGGAUUGGGAAUGUGUGCACUGCAUUGUCCAACCUCUGGCAGGAUCUACCCCUCUGAGGUCCUGGUAGAAGACUGGCAGGAAGAGAUAUUUUCUGCUUCUGGCUCCGGAGAGUGGCCAUUGCUAGUGGUUGCUGGAAGUUGCUAGCAUUAGCCAUUUGCUAGCAAAGGUGGGUGAUGCCAGACCCCAGCAGUCUAGAGGAUUUCAUCAGAGAAUCAGGGCGAUUCCAGGGCUGGGCACAUGGCCAUUCAGUGCUUCUCAUCUCUGGGUAUCGCUCCAUUCUUUCCUAUGCCUCCAAAAUCCCUCUUCUUUGCUUUUUUAACUCUUCCAACAGCUUUGUCACCUGUCUCCUGUAUUACAUUCCUUCUGUUUGAAAUACUUAGACUGAUUUUCCAGACUAGACUUGGCCAACACAUCUUCCGCUAAGGUAUUUGAGAAAGAAGAGUGGGUCUCAGCUUUACUCUGAAGCUGCCUGUUGUGAUUCUCUCCUUCAUGCCACACCAGCUAUGCCACAGGUCAAUUCUUGUUUCCUCCUGGGUGCUGACCCUGAUGCCUGCCCUAGAGUCCUUUUGUAGAGGACACUACUGCCAUAGGUCUCAGGAGAGGGACAGAUGAGAGGUAGGUUUUUGUUUUCCACCCCACUGUCGCACCAGUGUGAGUAUACUCUAGACCUUCCAUCAGGCUUGGGGAUGCAAGAAGGUUUAAUAUGCCAGAUGCAUGAACAAUUUGAAAUUACAUAUCUAACAUUCCCAUUCCUUGAAGUCUUAAAAAAAAAAAAAUAGG